RNAcentral lists this ribosomal RNA (775 nucleotides) under uncultured bacterium. RNAcentral describes it as "bacterial SSU rRNA". It matches the Rfam family "Bacterial small subunit ribosomal RNA", at positions 28 to 776 of the family's 1533-position model. The record is from RNAcentral.
GACGAACGCUGGCGGCGUGCCUAAUACAUGCAAGUCGAACGCUUUGAUUUUCACCGGAGCUUAGCGUCACCGAAAAUCAAAGAGUGGCGACGGGUGAGUAACACGUGGGCAACCUGCUCAACCGAGGGGGAUAACACUUGGAAACAGGUGCUAAUACCGCAUAAUUUAUUUUUCCGCAUGGAAGAAUAAUAAAAGACGCUUCGGUGUCACUGUUGGAUGGGCCCGCGCUGCAUUAGUUAGUUGGUGGGGUAACGGCCUACCAAGACCAUGAUGCAUAGCCGACCUGAGAGGGUGAUCGGCCACACUGGGACUGAGACGCGGCCCAGACUCCUACGGGAGGCAGCAGUAGGGAAUCUUCGGCAAUGGACGAAAGUCUGACCGAGCAACGCCGCGUGAGUGAAGAAGGUUUUCGGAUCGUAAAACUCUGUUGUUAGAGAAGAACAAGUGAGAGAGUUACUGUUCUCACCUUGACGGUAUCUAACCAGAAAGCCACGGCUAACUACGUGCCAGCAGCCGCGGUAAUACGUAGGUGGCAAGCGUUGUCCGGAUUUAUUGGGCGUAAAGCGAGCGCAGGCGGUUUCUUAAGUCUGAUGUGAAAGCCCUCGGCUCAACCGAGGAAGGUCAUUGGAAACUGGGGAACUUGAGUGCAGAAGAGGAGAGUGGAAUUCCAUGUGUAGCGGUGAAAUGCGUAGAUAUAUGGAGGAACACCAGUGGCGAAGGCGACUCUCUGGUCUGUAACUGACGCUGAGGCUCGAAAGCGUGGGGAGCAAACAGG